AACGAACGCUGGCGGCAUGCCUAACACAUGCAAGUCGAACGAGACCUUCGGGUCUAGUGGCGCACGGGUGCGUAACGCGUGGGAAUCUGCCCUUGGGUUCGGAAUAACAGUUGGAAACGACUGCUAAUACCGGAUGAUGUCUUCGGACCAAAGAUUUAUCGCCCAGGGAUGAGCCCGCGUAAGAUUAGCUAGUUGGUGGGGUAAAGGCCUACCAAGGCGACGAUCUUUAGCUGGUCUGAGAGGAUGAUCAGCCACACUGGGACUGAGACACGGCCCAGACUCCUACGGGAGGCAGCAGUGGGGAAUAUUGGACAAUGGGCGCAAGCCUGAUCCAGCAAUGCCGCGUGAGUGAUGAAGGCCUUAGGGUUGUAGAGCUCUUUUACCCGGGAUGAUAAUGACAGUACCGGGAGAAUAAGCCCCGGCUAACUCCGUGCCAGCCGCCGCGGUAA
RNAcentral lists this ribosomal RNA (449 nucleotides) under uncultured bacterium. Its description in RNAcentral is "partial 16S ribosomal RNA". It matches the Rfam family "Bacterial small subunit ribosomal RNA", at positions 29 to 523 of the family's 1533-position model. The record is from RNAcentral.